AGUGAACGCUGGCGGUAGGCCUAACACAUGCAAGUCGAACGGCAGCACAGUAAGAGCUUGCUCUUACGGGUGGCGAGUGGCGGACGGGUGAGGAAUACAUCGGAAUCUACUUUUUCGUGGGGGAUAACGUAGGGAAACUUACGCUAAUACCGCAUACGACCUACGGGUGAAAGCAGGGGAUCUUCGGACCUUGCGCGAUUGAAUGAGCCGAUGUCGGAUUAGCUAGUUGGCGGGGUAAAGGCCCACCAAGGCGACGAUCCGUAGCUGGUCUGAGAGGAUGAUCAGCCACACUGGAACUGAGACACGGUCCAGACUCCUACGGGAGGCAGCAGUGGGGAAUAUUGGACAAUGGGCGCAAGCCUGAUCCAGCCAUACCGCGUGGGUGAAGAAGGCCUGCGGGUUGUAAAGCCCUUUUGUUGGGAAAGAAAAGCAGCAGGUUAAUACCCCGCUGUCCUGACGGUACCCAAAGAAUAAGCACCGGCUAACUUCGU
This 491-nucleotide ribosomal RNA is filed under the name uncultured bacterium. Its description in RNAcentral is "partial 16S ribosomal RNA". It matches the Rfam family "Bacterial small subunit ribosomal RNA", at positions 29 to 506 of the family's 1533-position model. The record is from RNAcentral.